AUGGCGUCGUGGGACGAGCUCGUGGACUCCACGCUCGCGACUCUGGCCGGCAAGAACCUGCUCUUCAUGCAGCGCCUCAUCACCCUUCCGCCGCCGGUGCCGCCCUCCAGGACCUUCGCCGGGCCGGGGCCCUGGGACCGCCCCACCGUCGAGAUCCGGCUCGACGGCGCCUCCACCCAAGAAUGGCUCGCCCUAAAUGGCUUGGUCAGCGAGGAGGGAGACGAGGUGGACCGGAAGGUGGUCCUCUUCUCCGGGAACGACUACAUCGGCCUCGCCACGCAUCCGGCAGUCCUUGAGGCUGCGGCCAAGGCAGCUCAAGGCCCGGGCAUGGGGCCGAGGAGCUCCUCCUUGAUCUUUGGGUACACUACUUACCACAAACUGGCCGAGGAAUCACUCGCGGAUCUGCUCAAAAUGGAGGAUUGCCUUCUUUGUCCCACCGGAUAUGCUGCCAACACGUCCGUCAUGUCCGCAAUAGGUAGCAUCAUCUCUCUCUCAGCUACCGGGAGAAACGCGGCGCAGGAUGAGAGGAUCGCCAUCUUCUCGGAUGCGUGGAAUCAUGCCUCCAUCAUCGAUGGGAUCCGCCUUGCGGAGAGGCAGCAGGAAGCAGUGGCCUUUGUGUACAAGCACUGUGACAUGUCACACCUUGAGUCCUUGCUGUCCGGCUGCUCAAUGGCAAAGAAAGUUGUUGUCACAGAUAGUUUGUUCAGCAUGGACGGGGAUUUUGCUCCAUUGCCUGAACUUGUCAAAUUGCGCAGCAAAUAUGGAUUCUUGUUGGUCGUGGAUGAUGCACAUGGAACAUUUCUUUGCGGCGAGAACGGUGGUGGCAUACCUGAGAUGUUUGGGUGUGAAGAUGGCAUUGACAUAUGUGUUGGCUCCUUGAGCAAGGGCGGUGGUUGCCAGGGUGGUUUCAUAGCAUGCAGCAUUAGAUGGAAGAAGCUGAUCAUAUCGCGAGGUCGUCCAUUCAUGUUUUCGUCAGCUUUGCCACUGCCCAUUAUUGCUUCUCUGCUUGGUAACAUCUAUCAUUCCUCUGCGAUCCAUGUCUCGAAGAAGGAGGGAUGGCGAAGAUCACUUGUUUGGGACCACGUGAAGUACUUUGCUUCUUUGACAAAACUCAACAUAACUAGUCCCAUCAUUCCCAUUAUAGUUGGAACCGAAGAAGCAGUGCUCAAGGCUCACAGGCACCUUCAUAGAUCUGGAUUUCUUGUCAUCCCAAUCAGGCCACCAGUAGUGCCAGCCAACUCAUGCAGGCUGCGAGUUAGUCUUAGCUCAGCUCAUACCUCAGAUGAUAUCAAAAGGCUGGUUGAUGCGCUCUCUCCCUGGCUCCCCACUUGCGCUUCAGCUUCAAGGUUAUAA
Molecule: ribosomal RNA, 1353 nt
Filed under: Triticum aestivum (bread wheat)
Lineage: Eukaryota; Viridiplantae; Streptophyta; Magnoliopsida; Poales; Poaceae
Description: partial small subunit ribosomal RNA
Source: RNAcentral